RNAcentral lists this ribosomal RNA (478 nucleotides) under uncultured bacterium. RNAcentral's name for it is "partial 16S ribosomal RNA". It matches the Rfam family "Bacterial small subunit ribosomal RNA", at positions 28 to 523 of the family's 1533-position model. The record is from RNAcentral.
GACGAACGCUGGCGGCGUGCUUAACACAUGCAAGUCGAACGGUAAGGCCCUUCGGGGUACACGAGUGGCGAACGGGUGAGUAACACGUGGGUGAUCUGCCCUGCACUUCGGGAUAAGCCUGGGAAACUGGGUCUAAUACCGGAUAGGACCACUGCCUGCAUGGGUGGUGGUGGAAAGCUUUUGCGGUGUGGGAUGGGCCCGCGGCCUAUCGGCUUGUUGGUGGGGUGAGGGCCUACCAAGGGGACGACGGGUAGCCGGCCUGAGAGGGGGAACGGCCACACUGGGACUGAGAUACGGCCCAGACUCCUACGGGAGGCAGCAGUGGGGAAUAUUGCACAAUGGGCGCAAGCCUGAUGCAGCGACGCCGCGUGAGGGAUGACGGCCUUCGGGUUGUAAACCUCUUUCAGCACCGACGAAGCGCAAGUGACGGUAGGUGCAGAAGAAGGACCGGCCAACUACGUGCCAGCCGCCGCAGUAA